This 492-nucleotide ribosomal RNA is filed under the name uncultured bacterium. RNAcentral's name for it is "partial 16S ribosomal RNA". It matches the Rfam family "Bacterial small subunit ribosomal RNA", at positions 29 to 507 of the family's 1533-position model. The record is from RNAcentral.
AGUGAACGCUGGCGGUAGGCCUAACACAUGCAAGUCGAACGGCAGCACAUGUAUAGCUUGCUCUUACGGGUGGCGAGUGGUGGACGGGUGAGGAGUGCAUCGGAAUCUAUGUGUGCGUGGGUGAUUACGUAGGGAAACUUACGCUAAUACCGCAUAUGUCGUGCGGGUGAAAGCAGGGGAUCUUCGGUGCGUUUGUUCGUGAAUGAGUGGAUGUCGGAUUAGCUAGUUGGCGGGGUAAAGGCCCACCAAGGCGACGAUCCGUAGCUGGUCUGAGAGGAUGAUCAGCCACACUGGAACUGAGACACGGUCCAGACUCCUACGGGAGCACGCAGUGGGCACACUUGGACAAUGGGCGCAAGCCUGAUCCAGCCAUACCGCGUGGGAGAAGAAGGAAUUCGGGUUGUAAAGCCCUUUUGUUGGGAAAGACAAAAAACAGGUUAAUACCCCGCUGUUCUGACGGUACCCAAAGAAUAAGCACCGGCUAACUUCGUG